RNAcentral lists this ribosomal RNA (204 nucleotides) under uncultured bacterium. RNAcentral's name for it is "partial 16S ribosomal RNA". It matches the Rfam family "Bacterial small subunit ribosomal RNA", at positions 524 to 726 of the family's 1533-position model. The record is from RNAcentral.
UACGUAGGGGGCAAGCGUUGUUCGGAAUCACUGGGCGUAAAGGGCGCGUAGGCGGCGCGGGUAGUCGUCGGUGAAAGCUCAGGGCUCAACCCUGAGUCGGCCGGUGAUACUCCCGUGCUCGAGCACUGUAGGAGGCAGGUGGAAUUCCGGGUGUAGCGGUGGAAUGCGUAGAGAUCCGGAAGAACACCGGUGGCGAAGGCGGCC